RNAcentral lists this non-coding RNA (102 nucleotides) under Leersia perrieri. RNAcentral's name for it is "Bacterial large subunit ribosomal RNA". It matches the Rfam family "Bacterial large subunit ribosomal RNA", at positions 1899 to 2000 of the family's 2925-position model. Lineage: Eukaryota; Viridiplantae; Streptophyta; Magnoliopsida; Poales; Poaceae. The record is from Rfam by way of RNAcentral.
GUCUUCCCGGCGACCGAAGCCCCGGUGAACGGCGGCUGUAACUAUAACGGUCCUAAGGUAGCGAAAUUCCUUGUCGGGUAAGUUCCGACCCGCACGAAAGGC